AUGCACUACUCCAUGUCCGGAUCAGCAGCGGCAGGCGGAGGAGACCUCGGCGGCGGCCAGUUCUACGGCGACCAUCCGCCUGCCGACGACGUCUUCUUCCAGAGUCGUUCGGCGUGCGGCGGUGAAGACGAUGGUGGUGUCACGCCGUCGGCCUACUCCAGCAUCACCGACUACCUGCAGGGGCUCCUCGACCCCGCGGAGCUCGCCAGGCACCUGGACGCGCCUCCGUGCUACCCGACGAUGAGAGACGUGAUCGGCGAGGCAGCGGCCCCGGUCACGCCCAACUCGUCCACGUCCGGCGAGGCGGCGGGGGUCGAGUCCCACGGGUGCAAGAGAGGCAGUCCGGUGCCGGAGGAGGGAGACGAGGAUGGAUCGGCUGAUCAUCACAACCACAGGAGCGACGAGAAGGAGCAAAAGAAGAAAGGGAAGUGGGAGAAGAAGGCGCGUGGCUCCCGUGUGGCCUUUGCGACAAAGAGUGAGGUCGACCACCUCGACGAUGGCUACCGUUGGCGCAAGUAUGGCCAGAAGGCCGUCAAGAACAGCUCCUUCCCAAGGAGCUACUACCGGUGCACGGUGGCGCGGUGCGGGGUGAAGAAGCUGGUGGAGCGGUCGCAGCAGGACCCGUCCACGGUCGUCACCACCUAUGAGGGCCGCCACGGGCACCCAAGCCCCGUCGCCGCCCACCGUGGCGCACGGAUGCUAAUGGCCACCGGUGCGGACACUUCCUACUCGCUUGCCGCACUCCAGCAUCACCAACAUGACUUUUUGCCGGCUGGUGCCGACGUCUACGGGCGCAUGUGCAUGCAACCCACUACCGCCGUCACCCCGUCGGUGGCACACCGAUUGUCAGAGUAUGGUGGCAUGCAGUUCCAUGCUGAUCUUCUUCCCGAUGACGCGAUGGGCUACCAGCAUGGGUAUCGUUAA
Molecule: ribosomal RNA, 924 nt
Filed under: Triticum aestivum (bread wheat)
Lineage: Eukaryota; Viridiplantae; Streptophyta; Magnoliopsida; Poales; Poaceae
Description: partial small subunit ribosomal RNA
Source: RNAcentral